CGCGUAGGCGGCCCGCCAAGUCCGGGGUGAAAUCCUCCCGCCCAACGGGAGAAGUGCCUUGGAUACUGGCGGGCUCGAGCGGGGUAGGGGCAUGUGGAACUUCCGGUGGAGCGGUGAAAUGCGUAGAUAUCGGAAGGAACGCCGGUGGCGAAAGCGACGUGCUGGACCCCCCCUGACGCUGAGGCGCGAAAGCCAGGGGAGCGAACG
RNAcentral lists this ribosomal RNA (207 nucleotides) under uncultured bacterium. RNAcentral describes it as "partial 16S ribosomal RNA". It matches the Rfam family "Bacterial small subunit ribosomal RNA", at positions 568 to 774 of the family's 1533-position model. The record is from RNAcentral.